RNAcentral lists this ribosomal RNA (496 nucleotides) under uncultured bacterium. RNAcentral describes it as "partial 16S ribosomal RNA". It matches the Rfam family "Bacterial small subunit ribosomal RNA", at positions 29 to 507 of the family's 1533-position model. The record is from RNAcentral.
AUGAACCCUGGCGGCGUGCCUAAUACAUGCAAGUCGAGCGAACGGACGAGAAGCUUGCUUCUCUGAUGUUAGCGACGGACGGGUGAGUAACACGUGGAUAACCUACCUAUAAGACUGGGAUAACUUCGGGAAACCGGAGCUAAUACCGGAUGAUAUUUUGAACCGCAUGGUUCAAAAGUGAAAGACGGUCUUGCUGUCACUUAUAGAUGGAUCCGCGCUGCAUUAGCUAGUUGGUAAGGUAACGGCUUACCAAGGCAACGAUGCAUAGCCGACCUGAGAGGGUGAUCGGCCACACUGGAACUGAGACACGGUCCAGACUCCUACGGGAGGCAGCAGUAGGGAAUCUUCCGCAAUGGGCGAAAGCCUGACGGAGCAACGCCGCGUGAGUGAUGAAGGUCUUCGGAUCGUAAAACUCUGUUAUUAGGGAAGAACAUAUGUGUAAGUAACUGUGCACAUCUUGACGGUACCUAAUCAGAAAGCCACGGCUAACUACGUG